CCACACUGGGACUGAGACACGGCCCAGACUCCUACGGGAGGCAGCAGUAGGGAAUCUUCCGCAAUGGACGAAAGUCUGACGGAGCAACGCCGCGUGAGUGAUGAAGGCUUUCAGGGUCGUAAAACUCUGUUGUUAGGGAAGAACAAGUGCUAGUUGAAUAAGCUGGCACCUUGACGGUACCUAACCAAAAAGCCACGGCUAACUACGUGCCAGCAGCCGCGGUAAUACAAA
Molecule: ribosomal RNA, 231 nt
Filed under: Bacillus cereus
Lineage: Bacteria; Bacillati; Bacillota; Bacilli; Caryophanales; Bacillaceae
Description: partial 16S ribosomal RNA
Rfam family: Bacterial small subunit ribosomal RNA
Source: RNAcentral